GGUGGUCAGAGUGGAAGAUGGGACUGAGGGCUUGCGACACAUCAGGGACUCUGCACCGGUUCUCCCCCCCGCCCCCGCUCCCCGGAAAUGAUACUGACAUCCUUUGUGAAGGGCUUGGAGCUCUACCGGUGACAAGGGCAAUGGAAGAUCAAAGUGCUGGGGAAGCUACGAAAGCGCCGUUGGCCUUUGGAGAUCUGAGAGGCAAGAAUGCCCCAUCCCUAAAGGGAGGAGAACGUUGGUGACCUGCACUUCCUACGGCGAGGAUGCGCCAUCAGGACAUCCGUUUCUCUGUGCUGGCUCGGGCAGAGCCAUGGCAUCAGCACAGCGCCGGAAGCGCUCUGUGGUGGCGGGAGCCAGUUUCCAGCAGCCCUUGGCUUUGGCUGGGGGUUGGUAGAGCUGCAGCUGCUUCUUCCAAUUAAAGGGGCCUCUUCAUUCAUGA
Molecule: non-coding RNA, 439 nt
Organism: Caretta caretta (loggerhead turtle)
Lineage: Eukaryota; Metazoa; Chordata; Testudines; Cheloniidae
Source: RefSeq, a predicted model, not a curated record